This 488-nucleotide ribosomal RNA is filed under the name uncultured bacterium. Its description in RNAcentral is "partial 16S ribosomal RNA". It matches the Rfam family "Bacterial small subunit ribosomal RNA", at positions 28 to 507 of the family's 1533-position model. The record is from RNAcentral.
GACGAACGCUGGCGGCGUGCUUAACACAUGCAAGUCGAACGGAAAGGCCAUGCUUUUGUGGGGUGCACGAGAGGGGAACGGGUGAGUAAAACGCGAGUAACAUGCCCUUGACUUUGGGAUAAAUUCAGGAAAAAGGGGCUAAUACCGGAGAGGAGAUCCUGCUGCACGGGGGGGGAAGGAAAGAGUCGGCGGUGGGGGAUGGACUAGAGGGUUAUUAGCUGGUUGGUGGGGUAGGGGGUGACCAAGGCUAUGAAGGGUAGCCGACCUGAGAGGGUGACGGGCCACACUGGAACUUAGCCACGGUCCGGACUCCUACGGGAGGCAGCAGUCGGGAAUCUUCCGCAAUGGGCGAAAGCCUGACGGAGCAACGCCGCGUGAGUGAUGAAGGUCUUCGGAUCGUAAAACUCUGUUAUUAGGGAAGAACAUAUGUGUAAGUAACUGUGCACAUCUUGACGGUACCUAAUCAGAAAGCCACGGCUAACUACGUG